CUCUCUCUCUCUCUCUCUCUCUCUCUCUCUCUCUCUCUCUCUCUCUUUCCCUCUUCCUUUCUCUACCUAUCUAUCCGCGGACUACUUCAGCCGCCUCCCGCCUUUCGCGAGCGACUACAUCGAUGCCGCCUCCGCCACCGCCGACCGACAGUUUCCACGAAGUAGAGUUCAUCUUUUGUGAGAUCGUCGGUCUCCGCCGAUCCCAUCGGAAGCAUCGUCUCGUUACGAUGGCAGAAAGCUGUUCCGCAUUGCCGAGAGGUUCGAUGAGGUUCUGGCAGGUACACAUGUGGAGCAGAGCAGAGGAUCGACUUGAAGAACCGUCUAAUAAAAAUAUUAAUUGCACGGCUCGUUAGAAGACCCCCCGCAAUGUCUGCUAGAAGUUCAGCCGGGGUCGCCUCGCGGGGAGUCUGAUUCUUCGGUAAACUUAUACCCUCGUCGAUACGGGAUUAUUGACCGCACGGUGGUGCUUCGAGGGACGCACGGCAUUGUCGACGAUGUCUUCCGAUUUGCAUUUCCUCCUGUGCCCCUGGAUGAUCAUAAAUCCAUCGGAAAGCCCCCGCUUCCUGAGCCACUGUUCGCGCGUGCAUAUCGUCUAAAAGUUAAUCUUGAAACAGGGAUCGCUAGCAAAGUUUGGACGCAAUUUGAGAAUAACCUUAGAAUUAGUAUCGAGUUGAAAAUGCACAAAAAAAAACAUUGAUAAAUAGCUAUUUAGAUUGAACAUAAAAUAUAUGUUCUUUAUUUAAAAUAUCUUUUGAAUAUAUCGAAUACUAUAUCGAAAUACUUAUCAAGAUUUUUUAAAUAAGUGAGGUAAGUAUCUAAGAUAAAAAUAUUUUAAUUAUUUUUUUUUAAUUUUAUGUUUAUUCUCUUUAUUAUGUUUUUAUUAAAGCGAUUUUUAAGCGAUUAUUA
This is a long non-coding RNA of Cataglyphis hispanica, 906 nucleotides long. RefSeq lists it as uncharacterized. The transcript has 3 exons. The record is from RefSeq and is a predicted model, not a curated record. NCBI's taxonomy places the organism in Eukaryota, Metazoa, Arthropoda, Insecta, Hymenoptera, Formicidae.